CCUACGGGUGGCAGCAGUGAGGAAUAUUGGUCAAUGGGCGCAAGCCUGAACCAGCCAAGUCGCGUGAGGGAUGACGGUCCUAUGGAUUGUAAACCCUUUUUGUCGGGGAGCAAGGCCCGCCACGUGUGGCGGGAAGGAGAGUACCCGAAGAAAAAGCAUCCGCUAACUCCGUGCCAGCAGCCGCGGUAAUACGGUGGAUGCGAGCGUUAUCCGGAUUUAAUGGGUUUAAAGGGAGCGUAGGUGGCAUGUUAAGUCAGUUGUGAAAGUUUGCGGCUUAACCAUAAAAUUGCAGUUGAAACGGGCAGUCGUGAGUACAGUAGAGGUGAGCGGAAUUCGUGGUGUAGCGGUGAAAUGCUUAGAUAUCACGAAGAACUCCGAUGGCGAAGGCAGCUCACUGGACUGCAACUGACACUGAUGCUCGAAAGUGUGGGUAUCAAACAGGAUUAGAUACCCCAGUAGUC
RNAcentral lists this ribosomal RNA (461 nucleotides) under uncultured bacterium. RNAcentral's name for it is "partial 16S ribosomal RNA". It matches the Rfam family "Bacterial small subunit ribosomal RNA", at positions 338 to 795 of the family's 1533-position model. The record is from RNAcentral.